RNAcentral lists this ribosomal RNA (424 nucleotides) under uncultured bacterium. Its description in RNAcentral is "bacterial SSU rRNA". It matches the Rfam family "Bacterial small subunit ribosomal RNA", at positions 355 to 773 of the family's 1533-position model. The record is from RNAcentral.
UCGGGAAUUUUGGGCAAUGGGCGAAAGCCUGACCCAGCAACGCCGCGUGAAGGAUGAAAUCCCUCGGGAUGUAAACUUCGCAAGAAUGGGAAGAAUUAGUAGGGGUCAAUAACCCCUAUGAUGACGGUACCAUUUGUAAGCUCCGGCUAACUCCGUGCCAGCAGCCGCGGUAAUACGGGGGGAGCAAGCGUUGUUCGGAUUUACUGGGCGUAAAGGGCGCGUAGGCGGCCAGCGCAAGUCAGUUGUGAAAUCUCCGGGCUUAACUCGGAAAGGUCAACUGAUACUGCGCGGCUAGAGUGCGGAAGGGGCAACUGGAAUUCUCGGUGUAGCGGUGAAAUGCGUAGAUAUCGAGAGGAACACCUGCGGCGAAGGCGGGUUGCUGGGCCGACACUGACGCUGAGGCGCGAAAGCCAGGGGAGCGAAC